RNAcentral lists this ribosomal RNA (223 nucleotides) under uncultured bacterium. Its description in RNAcentral is "partial 16S ribosomal RNA". It matches the Rfam family "Bacterial small subunit ribosomal RNA", at positions 524 to 745 of the family's 1533-position model. The record is from RNAcentral.
UACGGAGGGUGCGAGCGUUGUCCGGAAUUACUGGGCGUAAAGAGCUCGUAGGCGGUUUGUCGCGUCGUCUGUGAAAUUCCGGGGCUUAACUCCGGGCGUGCAGGCGAUACGGGCAUAACUUGAGUACUGUAGGGGAGACUGGAAUUCCUGGUGUAGCGGUGAAAUGCGCAGAUAUCAGGCGGAACUCCGAUGGCGUAGUCGGGUCUCUGGGCAGUACCUGACG